AUGAACGCUGGCGGCGUGCCUCAUCCCUGCAAGUCGAGCGAACAGAUAAGGAGCUUGCUCCUUUGACGUUAGCGGCGGACGGGUGAGUAACACGUGGGUAACCUACCUAUAAGACUGGGAUAACUUCGGGAAACCGGAGCUAAUACCGGAUAACAUUUGGAACCGCAUGGUUCUAAAGUGAAAGAUGGUUUUGCUAUCACUUAUAGAUGGACCCGCGCCGUAUUAGCUAGUUGGUAAGGUAACGGCUUACCAAGGCGACGAUACGUAGCCGACCUGAGAGGGUGAUCGGCCACACUGGAACUGAGACACGGUCCAGACUCCUACGGGAGGCAGCAGUAGGGAAUCUUCCGCAAUGGGCGAAAGCCUGACGGAGCAACGCCGCGUGAGUGAUGAAGGGUUUCGGCUCGUAAAACUCUGUUAUUAGGGAAGAACAAAUGUGUAAGUAACUGUGCACGUCUUGACGGUACCUAAUCAGAAAGCCACGGCUAACUACGUG
RNAcentral lists this ribosomal RNA (496 nucleotides) under uncultured bacterium. Its description in RNAcentral is "partial 16S ribosomal RNA". It matches the Rfam family "Bacterial small subunit ribosomal RNA", at positions 29 to 507 of the family's 1533-position model. The record is from RNAcentral.